This 763-nucleotide ribosomal RNA is filed under the name uncultured Streptococcus sp. Its description in RNAcentral is "bacterial SSU rRNA". It matches the Rfam family "Bacterial small subunit ribosomal RNA", at positions 28 to 776 of the family's 1533-position model. The record is from RNAcentral. Lineage: Bacteria; Bacillati; Bacillota; Bacilli; Lactobacillales; Streptococcaceae.
GACGAACGCCGGCGGCGUGCCUAAUACAUGCAAGUAGAACGCUGAAGGAGGAGCUUGCUUCUCCGGAUGAGUUGCGAACGGGUGAGUAACGCGUAGGUAACCUGCCUGGUAGCGGGGGAUAACUAUUGGAAACGAUAGCUAAUACCGCAUAAGAGUAGAUGUUGCAUGACAUUUGCUUAAAAGGUGCAAUUGCAUCACUACCAGAUGGACCUGCGUUGUAUUAGCUAGUUGGUGGGGUAACGGCUCACCAAGGCGACGAUACAUAGCCGACCUGAGAGGGUGAUCGGCCACACUGGGACUGAGACACGGCCCAGACUCCUACGGGAGGCAGCAGUAGGGAAUCUUCGGCAAUGGACGGAAGUCUGACCGAGCAACGCCGCGUGAGUGAAGAAGGUUUUCGGAUCGUAAAGCUCUGUUGUAAGAGAAGAACGAGUGUGAGAGUGGAAAGUUCACACUGUGACGGUAUCUUACCAGAAAGGGACGGCUAACUACGUGCCAGCAGCCGCGGUAAUACGUAGGUCCCGAGCGUUGUCCGGAUUUAUUGGGCGUAAAGCGAGCGCAGGCGGUUAGAUAAGUCUGAAGUUAAAGGCUGUGGCUUAACCAUAGUACGCUUUGGAAACUGUUUAACUUGAGUGCAAGAGGGGAGAGUGGAAUUCCAUGUGUAGCGGUGAAAUGCGUAGAUAUAUGGAGGAACACCGGUGGCGAAAGCGGCUCUCUGGCUUGUAACUGACGCUGAGGCUCGAAAGCGUGGGGAGCAAACAGG